This 75-nucleotide transfer RNA is filed under the name Chryseobacterium taklimakanense. RNAcentral describes it as "tRNA-Arg". It matches the Rfam family "tRNA". From Rfam's summary of the family: Transfer RNA (tRNA) molecules are approximately 80 nucleotides in length. Their secondary structure includes four short double-helical elements and three loops (D, anti-codon, and T loops). Lineage: Bacteria; Pseudomonadati; Bacteroidota; Flavobacteriia; Flavobacteriales; Weeksellaceae. RNAcentral also lists the same sequence under 2 other names. The record is from RNAcentral.
GGGCCCAUAGUUUAAUGGAUAGAAUUAAAGAUUCCGGUUCUUUAGGUUGAGGUUCGAUUCCUCAUGGGCCUACAA